GUUGGUGGUUUUGACUGCACCUAAUCUCACCUGAUCUCAGAAGCUAAACAAGGUUGGGCCUGGUUAGUACUUAGAUGGGAACUAGGCCUACUGUGCCGAUCGUACAUGUCCGGUCUUUGAAAAUUAGGUCAGCU
This 134-nucleotide ribosomal RNA is filed under the name Otolemur garnettii (small-eared galago). The record is from RNAcentral. Lineage: Eukaryota; Metazoa; Chordata; Mammalia; Primates; Galagidae.